UGGCGAACGGGUGAGUAACACGUGGGUGAUCUGCCCUGCACUUCGGGAUAAGCUUGGGAAACUUGGUCUAAUACCGGAUAGGACCAUCGUUUAGUGUCGGUGGUGGAAAGUUUUUUCGGUGUGUGAUGAGCUCGCGGCCUAUCAGCUUGUUGGUGGGGUAAUGGCCUACCAAGGCGUCGACGGGUAGCCGGCCUGAGAGGGUGUACGGCCACAUUGGGACUGAGAUACGGCCCAG
RNAcentral lists this ribosomal RNA (235 nucleotides) under uncultured Actinomycetales bacterium. RNAcentral describes it as "partial 16S ribosomal RNA". It matches the Rfam family "Bacterial small subunit ribosomal RNA", at positions 96 to 334 of the family's 1533-position model. Lineage: Bacteria; Bacillati; Actinomycetota; Actinomycetes; Actinomycetales. The record is from RNAcentral.